GAUCUCCUACGGGAGGCAGCAGUGGGGAAUCUUAGACAAUGGGCGCAAGCCUGAUCUAGCCAUGCCGCGUGAGUGACGAAGGCCUUAGGGUCGUAAGCUCUUUCGCCAGGGAUGAUAAUGACAGUACCUGGUAAAGAAACCCCGGCUAACUCCGUGCCAGCAGCCGCGGUAAUACGGAGGGGGUUAGCGUUGUUCGGAAUUACUGGGCGUAAAGCGCACGUAGGCGGACUGGAAAGUUGGGGGUGAAAUCCCGGGGCUCAACCUCGGAACUGCCUCCAAAACUACUAGUCUAGAGUUCGAAAGAGGUGAGUGGAAUUCCGAGUGUAGAGGUGAAAUUCGUAGAUAUUCGGAGGAACACCAGUGGCGAAAGCGGCA
RNAcentral lists this ribosomal RNA (375 nucleotides) under uncultured Alphaproteobacteria bacterium. RNAcentral's name for it is "bacterial SSU rRNA". It matches the Rfam family "Bacterial small subunit ribosomal RNA", at positions 333 to 726 of the family's 1533-position model. Lineage: Bacteria; Pseudomonadati; Pseudomonadota; Alphaproteobacteria. The record is from RNAcentral.